RNAcentral lists this ribosomal RNA (450 nucleotides) under uncultured bacterium. RNAcentral describes it as "bacterial SSU rRNA". It matches the Rfam family "Bacterial small subunit ribosomal RNA", at positions 354 to 796 of the family's 1533-position model. The record is from RNAcentral.
GUGGGGAAUAUUGGACAAUGGGCGAAAGCCUGAUCCAGCCAUGCCGCGUGUGUGAAGAAGGUCUUCGGAUUGUAAAGCACUUUAAGUUGGGAGGAAGGGCAGUAAGUUAAUACCUUGCUGUUUUGACGUUACCGACAGAAUAAGCACCGGCUAACUUCGUGCCAGCAGCCGCGGUAAUACGAAGGGUGCAAGCGUUAAUCGGAAUUACUGGGCGUAAAGCGCGCGUAGGUGGUUUUGUAAGUUGGAGGUGAAAUCCCCGGGCUCAACCUGGGUACUGACUCCAAAACUGCAUGACUAGAGUACGGUAGAGGGUAGUGGAAUUUCCUGUGUAGCGGUGAAAUGCGUAGAUAUAGGAAGGAACACCAGUGGCGAAGGCGACUACCUGGACUGAUACUGACACUGAGGUGCGAAAGCGUGGGGAGCAAACAGGAUUAGAUACCCCGGUAGUCC